Molecule: ribosomal RNA, 413 nt
Filed under: uncultured bacterium
Lineage: Bacteria
Description: bacterial SSU rRNA
Rfam family: Bacterial small subunit ribosomal RNA
Source: RNAcentral
GUGCCAGCAGCCGCGGUAAUACGGGGGGUGCAAGCGUUGUUCGGAAUUAUUGGGCGUAAAGAGCGUGUAGGCGGCCGAGCAAGUCAGAUGUGAAAUCCCCGGGCUUAACCCGGGAAGUGCAUUUGAAACUGCUAGGCCUGAGUAGGGGAGAGGAAAGUGGAAUUCCUGGUGUAGAGGUGAAAUUCGUAGAUAUCAGGAGGAACACCGGUGGCGAAGGCGACUUUCUGGCCCUAUACUGACGCUGAGACGCGAGAGCGUGGGUAGCAAACAGGAUUAGAUACCCUGGUAGUCCACGCCGUAAACGAUGUUCACUAGGUGUUGGGGGUAUUGACCCUCUCAGUGCCGCAGCUAACGCAUUAAGUGAACCGCCUGGGGAGUACGGUCGCAAGAUUAAAACUUAAAGAAAUUGGCGG